Molecule: non-coding RNA, 145 nt
Organism: Gossypium hirsutum (cotton)
Lineage: Eukaryota; Viridiplantae; Streptophyta; Magnoliopsida; Malvales; Malvaceae
Source: Rfam
UGUUAAAAAUUUCAUCAAUAUCUAUUGUUAAAACCUAACGUCGCUGAUAAAAUAAUCAAACAGUUACACAAUGCGUGCCAUGUGUACCUCAUUUUGAGGUAGAAGGACCAAUUUUUAAUAGUAGAAUUUGAUGAAAUUUUUAAUA